Molecule: ribosomal RNA, 429 nt
Filed under: Pseudomonadota bacterium
Lineage: Bacteria; Pseudomonadati; Pseudomonadota
Description: Proteobacteria bacterium partial 16S ribosomal RNA
Rfam family: Bacterial small subunit ribosomal RNA
Source: RNAcentral
UGGGGAAUAUUGGACAAUGGGCGAAAGCCUGAUCCAGCCAUGCCGCGUGUGUGAAGAAGGUCUUCGGAUUGUAAAGCACUUUAAGCUGGGAGGAAGGGCAGUAAGCGAAUACCUUGCUGUUUUGACGUUACCGACAGAAUAAGCACCGGCUAACUCUGUGCCAGCAGCCGCGGUAAUACAGAGGGUGCAAGCGUUAAUCGGAAUUACUGGGCGUAAAGCGCGCGUAGGUGGUUCGUUAAGUUGAAUGUGAAAGCCCCGGGCUCAACCUGGGAACUGCAUCCAAAACUGGCGGGCUAGAGUAGGGCAGAGGGUGGUGGAAUUUCCUGUGUAGCGGUGAAAUGCGUAGAUAUAGGAAGGAACACCAGUGGCGAAGGCGACCACCUGGGCUCAUACUGACACUGAGGUGCGAAAGCGUGGGGAGCAAACAGG